AACCUCCGCAAUGUGAGAAAUCGCGACGGGGGGAUCCCAAGUGCCAUUCUUAACGGGAUGGCUUUUCUUAAGUGUAAAAAGCUUUUGGAAUAAGAGCUGGGCAAGACCGGUGCCAGCCGCCGCGGUAACACCGGCAGCUCUAGUGGUAGCUGUUUUUAUUGGGCCUAAAGCGUUCGUAGCCGGUUUGAUAAGUCACUGGUGAAAUCUUGUAGCUUAACUGUGAGAAUUGCUGGUGAUACUGUUGAACUUGAGGUCGGGAGAGGUUAGCGGUACUCCCAGGGUAGAGGUGAAAUUCUGUAAUCCUGGGAGGACCACCUGUGGCGAAGGCGGCUAACUGGAACGAACCUGACGGUGAGGGACGAAAGCCAGGGGCGCGAACCGGAUUAGAUACCCGGGUAGUCCUGGCCGUAAACGAUGCGGACUUGGUGUUGGGAUGGCUUUGAGCCGCUCCGGUGCCGAAGGGAAGCUGUUAAGUCCGCCGCCUGGGAAGUACGGUCGCAAGACUGAAACUUAAAGGAAUU
This 521-nucleotide ribosomal RNA is filed under the name uncultured bacterium. Its description in RNAcentral is "bacterial SSU rRNA". It matches the Rfam family "Archaeal small subunit ribosomal RNA", at positions 345 to 866 of the family's 1478-position model. The record is from RNAcentral.